Sus scrofa (pig) is the source of this 142-nucleotide non-coding RNA. The record is from RefSeq and is a predicted model, not a curated record. NCBI's taxonomy places the organism in Eukaryota, Metazoa, Chordata, Mammalia, Artiodactyla, Suidae.
GCUAACAGUUAAGAACUCAGGAUGAAAACUUGUACGCACGGCAGGCUGGGAAGAUGAAGAUGACGAUGGUGUUAAGAUACCAAUAAGCCCUGAGGUCCAGCAGGAUCUGAUGAGCAUUGAAGCUGGAGAGGCGGGAACAAGG